Triticum dicoccoides is the source of this 622-nucleotide long non-coding RNA. RefSeq lists it as uncharacterized. Lineage: Eukaryota; Viridiplantae; Streptophyta; Magnoliopsida; Poales; Poaceae. The record is from RefSeq and is a predicted model, not a curated record. The transcript is spliced from 4 exons.
UCCGCACGCGCUCACCGCCGCCGCCACCGCUGCUCUCUCUCUCUCCAUCAUGCGCAUCCCCACUGAAUCGAUCCAUCCAUCCGUACUCCUCGCUCUCUUCCUCCCGUGACUCGUCGGAUCUGCACGGGUAGUGGCUCACCCCACCGGAUGGUACUCUCUUAGCCAUGGUACCCUUUGGUGUUAGACUGGGCAACACUUGGAGAGAGUCUGCACCGCUGAUGGGUGCCCCCUUCAGCCCUUCCACUUCCGUGUCAUGCGCAAUUCCGGUGACCUCAUGUAGCUCGAGCUCGAUGCACUCCGCCUACACGAGGGCGGUGCCAAGACGGGCAGCAACAAUAUGAGCUUGCAACUCUAUUUGAUGCAGUUGGUGCAACAUUGAACCAUUCUUCUAACUUUGUGGGGAUCAUGGCAGGAGAUAACAGCAAGGUUUCUGAAUAUUUUGUGCUACACAUGACUUCAGAGGAUGUGGCGACUAUGUAGCUAAGUGUCAGAGAGAAGUGGGUGAAGAGCUAGACAAAGGUUUUUUUCCUGAUCUACAUGCAAUGCAUUUCUCUUCAGAAACAAAAUUGCCAGCUCCUUGGCCAUUAGCUUUUGAAAUUAGACAUGAGCUUCACUAAUUGAA